Molecule: long non-coding RNA, 1031 nt
Filed under: Equus caballus (horse)
Lineage: Eukaryota; Metazoa; Chordata; Mammalia; Perissodactyla; Equidae
Description: lncRNA (ENSECAG00000057272.1)
Source: RNAcentral
UCCGUGGGAACGGAGGCCCAGGGAGGAUCAGACACUCCCAGACAUAUCUGUUGGAGAUCCUGAAGCUGAGGAUCCCAUGAGUUCCACACAGAAGCACCAGCCCCUCCAGGUUGCUCAAUCCCAGAAGGCUUAGGUGGUUCGUGCCCACAGAUGGUGGACCAGGAGGUCCUGGCACCUCCACAUAAACAGUGGUUUAACAGCUACCCUCCGAUGAAGAUAACUCUGAGAGGACUCUGGUGCACAAUAAGAAGGUGCAGCCAUGCAGGGGAGCGCAAAGACCGAGGGCGGCCACAAGAAAAGUGUAGGAAGCAUUUUACCUGUUGUUGGAGGAGGUCAUCAAGAAGACGCGACUGCCAGUUGACCUGCAAGCUGAACCUGGACAAUCGGAGGCUCUCCACCCCUCCCGUGUCCUUGGAAGGUGCAUUCUGCUUGCCUUCCCCGCUCCCAGAAGCUGCUCCAAGGGCACAGCCUUAAGAUAGAAAUGUGGUGUUGAGCCUGUCUGCACUGGGUACCUGACUGAUCCAGUUAAAGCUCCUACAUAAACUUUUAAGAUUCUGGUGGGUGGGUGCAGAGAUCUACUCGUCUUGCAGCCUUUCAAGAUAAGCUUCCUGAGUUGGGGGGCACCUACCUGUGAGGAAGAGCACUGCCACGGUCAGCCCCACAGCUGUCAUCCUGAAGGGACCUGGGUGACCUCCAGCACUUCAGGAAUCUCCCACAGCAUGGCUUGAUGAGUGGUGUGUAGUACCUAGUUGUCUAUCCUGGUUGUAAGUCCUUCCGGUUCUUCUAUGUGGGAUGCUGCCACAGCCUGGCUUGGUGAGUGAUGUGUACAUCUGUGCCCAGGAUCUGAACCAGUGAACCCCAGGCUGCUGAAACAGAGCGUGAGACUUAACCACUCAGCCAGGGGGCUGGCCCCCUAAACUUUCUUUAAGGUAUGUUCAUAUGAAAUUCUUAAAAAUCUGGUAUCUCCUGGUAUCAUGUUAUCAAUCAUAAUUUUAAAAUGUAUGUCACAGAAAUAACCAAGUUCCCUGGUC